Chelonia mydas (Green sea turtle) is the source of this 4192-nucleotide long non-coding RNA. RefSeq lists it as uncharacterized. The transcript is spliced from 3 exons. The record is from RefSeq and is a predicted model, not a curated record. NCBI's taxonomy places the organism in Eukaryota, Metazoa, Chordata, Testudines, Cheloniidae.
AGUGGCUAGAAAGCCAGGAUGUGGAUAGACUGCAAAUACUGCAGUUAAAAUCCAUAAUUGGCCUGGUGAAGAAGAAGGCUCGCAGUAGCAUGAAGCAACAAAGUAUAACAAGUUUUUUAAAAAUGAAAAAAAUGUUAAGGGGUGCAUCUUAAAUAAGAAAGCAUCUUGUACACCAAAAAAAGGUAUUUACUAUUUUAUCAAUGUCUCUAAACUUGAUUACUUUACCUUUUUUUAGCUUCAUUUUAACCUUUUCUAUAAGUAAAAACUCCCAUCUCCAAAAUGUUUUCAAACGAUUUAAUAGUUAACAGUUCAUAUUACUUAACAACCUACGUAUAACAUAGUUGGCUAAGUGACAAAGGGGCCCAUGCUCCUAUUUGCUAAGAACUGAUCCCUGUGGGACCCCACUGGAGACAGACCCACUCAGUGAGAAUUCCCUGUUUACGGUUAUAUUUUGAGACCUAUCAGUUAACAGUUUUUAAUCUAUUUAAUGAGUGCCAUGUUAAUUUUAUUCUAGUUUUUUAAUCAAUAUUUGCAGCACCAAGUCCAAUACCUUACAGAAGUCAGUUAUAUCAACACCAUUACUUUUAUGAACCAAAUGUAUAAUGUCAUAAAAAAAAUCAGUUAGUUUUACAGGUUCUAUUUUCCAUAAACCCAUGUUGAUUUGUCUUAAUUACAUUCUCCUCCUUUAGUUCAUUAUUAAUUUAGCACUUAUCAGUAGCUCUUCUAUCUUGCCUGGGAUUGAAGUCAUGCUGACAGGCCUAUAAUUACCCAGGUCAUCCCAUUUACCCUUGGCUUUCUUUCAGUCUUCCCCAGUGUUCCAGAACAUGGAGUCCACUCACAUUAUUAUACGAGAAACACAGCUCAGGGGAACAUGGUAGCAGCGGUCAGUCGUGUGACUUACAGCAAGAAAGUGUGUUUAACCAGAAAACAAAGCAGCAGCUGAAACAGAGUAAACACACAGCAUGGAGGGACUUGGACAACUGGAAAAGCCUAAUUUCCAGACAAACCUUUCACAAGCACAGAAGCAAGAACUGACUCUGUAUACAGAGCUGACUGUAAAAAGGCUGAUGAUAUCCUGAACAAACCUGAAGGAAUGAAGAUAAACUUUAUUGAAUUAGGGAUAAUACCUUUGGGGUACACUGUAUUAAAAAUGCAGUUGGAUAUUGUAUAUACCUUCCCUACUAGGGAAGGGGGAUGCUAAUGUAUUUUCUCUAUAUCCGCUUCUGAAGCCACCCCCUGGAGAUAUGUAUAUACUAAUUCAAACUGGAUUUUCCAGAGACCAACAGACAAAGAAAAGACUCUUGGAUAAAAGCCUGGGUUCUAAGCUGACUUAGGGUCUUCUUCCUGAUCUAGCAAACUGACUGGACCCCUGGUCCAUGGAGACCGCCACUCCUUAGGGGAGGGUUGAAAGGACGUCACCUAGGGAGGCCUCAGAAGACUGCUUGUUCUGAGCCGAAGCUCUGAUGAACUCGUAACCUCAAGUGGGGUGAUUCCUGGUGAGCUUAUUAGCAUAGGUGCAGGUUCUUUUAUUAUUUUAAUGUUUCUCUGUAAUACCUUUUACCUGAAGAAGAAAGCAGGCUUGCUUAGAAAGAACUGUGAGGUACAUAUCUGUAGAAACUACUCUUACCAGGCUCUGAGGAGAAAGCAAGCAGGUUUGUUUCGACAGACUCUUUGCUGGGAAAUACACAGCCAAGGCAGGGACCUGUGCAGGCUGGGAAUACCUUGGUCAGAAGAGAGAGAGGUGCGUGUCUCCACCUAGAAAGGCAACAGCUGGGGACCUGAGCGUGGGUAGCCUUGCUGAACCACUGAGGGGAAAUACAGGAGCAGUUGCCCUGAACUUUGACACUGACCAUGGGGCAUAAAGAUGAGAAAAUGAAGGUAAAACUUUUUUUUACUGUCACUGGGAAAACACUGCCAUGCAGUGUGGCCAACUCUUGUGAUUCCUUUUAUCAUGUGUCUUGUGGUACUCAGUGUGUUUUCUUGAAGUCCCAGCUCUUGGAGUCAUAUGAAUACAACAAUUUCAGCUUUCAUUUUUUUUUUUAAAUGGAAUCUAAGUUUCUAGCCCUCCUGGUUGCAAAUAUGCUUGAAAACUUGAACACUAAAACUUCAAAAGCCAGAAGGCAAAUAAAGAUUUUCAAAUACAUUUUUAAUAUCACAUUUUUCUGCCUGUGAUGGGGGUGUAUAAACCCCAUACUGGGACAGGUGUGAUUAAGGGCACAGGUGACUCUGCUCUACCAAACUUGCAGAGCCCGCUCCACCUGGCGGAGGAGCUUAUAAAAGGGAGCCAGACUGCUCAGGUAUGGGAGUGGAGAAGACAGAACUGUGUUGGACUAUAUAGCUCUCCAACACUUUGAUGAGAUGUUGCCACCCUUAAAAUGGCACGGAAGGCUACGAAGGACAAAAGCAGCUGUACAGAAGGUUGACGUUGGUUCCAACAGCUGCAAAUAAGCAACACCCUUUCCAUAAAAAGGAUGUGCCUGCCUCUGGAAGAACAAAGAACAAAGAACAAAGAACAAAUUCCUGCUCAUUUGCCACAAUUGUCUUCAUGACAUCCUUCUUGUAGCAGUGUUCAUGUACUCAUGUCCAGCACUGGGUGGCAGUACUAACUCAGAUAUACAGCAUGUCAGGGCCAUCAUCUAUGUCUUUGCCAUUUUUCGUAACGUUUCAGGAUUGCCAGAGCACACAGUGUCCCAUUGUAGAUGCCCUACUUUCCCUUACAGUUUUUGUAUCUGAACUUUUUCCUUGUUUUACACUGAAAAGCAAUUUGUAGUAAUAUCCAUCCAUCUCAUUUUCCAGUGGAAGCUUCAUAGUUCGGAAAGGGAGAAUGACAUGGGGUCCUAUAAACUACAGGCUUCUAUCUCUUUCACUACAGUCUGGGGUUGGAGUUUAUAGUUUAGCUGAAGUUAUCACAGAUACACCUAGAUACACCAUUUUCUAGUGGUCUGUAUAGUUCAUCUAGGGUUUUUUUCCCCUCUGACAUGAUUUUUCCUGUUCUUAACCUUGUUUGUUUACAUUUUUACCAAUCACAUAAAGGGGAAGAAAUAUAAAUAUCACCAGUAAUCUGCUAAAGUUGAAAUCUUUUCUCCACACUCUCAUUUGCCCUGGUAUUGAUAGGUUGGUGUGUAGCAGAGUUUUAUGAAGAGCGGUUUGUUUGCAAGAGUUCAGUUGACCUCUUUCAUGGGCUUCCAUUUGUGGCUUUGUAUCUCUGAAGUUUCAGGUUUGAAUGAACACAGCAAGUUUCACCUGGUUCCACUGCAAACAAUCAGUGUCUCAUUCCCUCUAGUGCAGGUCCACAAGGAGGAUGACCUACUAUUGCUGGCAGAGGCUUGUGGAUAUAAAGGUUCCAACCCUGCUGUUGAGGGGGCUGAAUCCUAAACCUGGUAUGGAGACAGUAGUGUGGCGAGAGACAGAAUGCAGCAGCAGCGAGGUUUCCUACUACACACAAGAAUCACUAAAAGCUGGGGCACAGACCCCUCAGAACACAUCACAUCAACAGGCAGAGGUGAUCAGUGGUGAUCAGCAGCAAGCGGCAGCAGUGGCAUUGCUCGACACAUAUCCACUCCAGAAGUGGGAAGUGAACUCACACGAAUGCACCCCCAAAUUCUGGCUUUGUUGACCUAACAACAAACCGAGGGCAAUCCAGUGGAGGGAAAGGGGAGGGGCACGUCUGAACUUUCAUACCAAGAGCUGGGAAACUGAGGACACCGCUCAAGAUAUUGUGGGGGGUGUACCUGUUGGACAAUCAGGGGAGCUACUUCAUUCAUGUGGAUCCCAAAACAGAAUUCAACAUAUAUAUUUUAUACUAACACACUCUAUAUAUUGUUUAAUGGAAAACACCUGUGUACUAAUUACCAUGGGCGGAAACAUUAUGUAACCUUUUGACCAUUGGCUACUGUGCUUAUCUUGUCUUGCUGCUAGAUCUAUCAAGGGGUUUAGGACUGCCUACCCUGUCAUUUCUCUCCGCCCAUGGAAAAGCCAUAUAAUCCAUUGUAAUCAAUUGUUUGGCAGUGUCUCUGAGCCUAAUAAGCGAGGUGACGCUCCGUCAGCGCUGUGCAUAAUAAACCCACGUGCUUGAUUCUACAUGGUGUCCAUAUUUGUUCCUUCACUAAUGUCCAACCUAAACCUCCCUUGCUGCAAUUUAAGCCCAUUGCUUCUUGUCCUAUCCUCAAAGGUUAAGAAAAACAAUUUUUCU